This is a non-coding RNA of Osmia lignaria (orchard mason bee), 2628 nucleotides long. The record is from RefSeq and is a predicted model, not a curated record. NCBI's taxonomy places the organism in Eukaryota, Metazoa, Arthropoda, Insecta, Hymenoptera, Megachilidae.
CUACUUCAUGGAACAAAGCUUAUCUGACGGCCAAGAAAUACAUAGUUCACAGAGAUCCAAUUGGACAUGGAGGGGUAAUGCACACGCCACUCAGAGAUCAAGUCUUCAUUGGGGGCAUGAAAAUACGAUGUUUAAUCUAUGCUACACUGUUGAAAGUAGUAGAUUACUAUCAUUCAUCAAAAUCAUUUGACAGACAACUGAUAACAUCUGUGUAACGUAGUCAUGGUUAAAAUUCAGGAAAUAUCGGGCCAAGUUAGGUAGCAGCAACUUGAAGAUAAUAUUAGCAUUGAAAUAUAAACUGCUCUGCAAACAUGAUGUUACCGAGAUGGAUACAAUGUGUGCAAAUAAGCUAAAUCAUUGCGGUAACAUUAUGUACUGUACUGAAGGAAUAAUUUAAAAUCGAAUUAACGUCAUUUAUGAUAUGGAUACGGAACACGAAUAAAAUUAUCGAAGAGCGCAGCAGAUACCGGUGAAAGAUUACGAUAGGAAAUCGGCGAAGCAGUUGCACAUGAUGAGGAAAUAUCUUAACAAGGAAAAUGAAGAAAAUUGUGUGAUUCAUCGGUCAAAAAAUAUUUAACGUUUCGCUAGCAUACGUUAUAGUGUGCACUGUGAUUCAUCAAUCACUAAAUUUUCACGUGACAGAGGUGCCUUACCAAAGAUUACACCAUACACAUUUUGGGGAUAACAUGGAUUAUACAUUAGCGUAGGUACAUACCUUAUCAAAUGAUCGCCACCCUGCGGGUCGGCACUCGGUUUUUGACGGAAUGAUGGAAGUUUACGGUGACUGGAUCCCAAAAAUCAGUCAAAUCAGUCGAUGAAAGUUGAAGAUUCGUUCGUUUGAAGACCAGUGGCUGUCGAAUUUUUUCGCGACCAAUUUUCCGUAAUAAAUGUCGAGAAAAAACAUUCGUUCGUAACUACUGUUUAAGCGUUACGAGCGAACAUUGAAGCGCCGGUCGAAUAACUCGUUAAUCGUAAUUUAUUUCGUUUAAAUAUCGUCAAAUCUGGCAAACCCCUGAAGAACUUCCUCCUACGGACACACCACCGAGCAGGAGCUCCCAGAGAGGUUCGCAAAUGCAUCCAGUACAAACCAUAAUCGACUUCGUAACUCGAACUUCGAGUUCGAGACUUCGAUUAUCGUGUGCAAUCGAUCACUCGAAUAAAAUUUAAAAUGAAUUACAAUUAUUCGAUAGUUAAAAACGAGCAACACUAUCUAACACGAAUUUUAAUUUGUGAUAUUCAUUGUGUGAUCCUUCUUAAAUUUCUCUUCCCAAAUAUAAAUCUAGAAGUGGUUAAUUUUUUAACUAAUAUUUUAUAUUAACUACCUUGAAAACGUUUUUGAAAAAUAUGAAUUUUUAUAAAAGUGCACAAUUUUAAUGCUAGGAAAUUCUAUUCAGUACUAAAAGAUAGAGAUAAUUGCCUGUAGUAUUGCUUGUGGAAACAGUGCUAAGCCUAAUCUAGGUGGGAAUGUUUCCAUUCUGAACCUUUUUUCCUCUUAUUAUCAGUGAUGUGAGCGAAAAACACGGAAAACAUUUCCAUCAAAAUAUUUUCAAAAUGGAAAAAACGAUUCCGUAUCAGAAUAUGACUAGCAGAAUUUUUGCAAACUGAAAUUGAUUACAAAAUUCUUUGUAAUUAUGUGAUUUGUAUUCAAAAAUACAUGAAAUUGGACGGUGAUGACGAGCAACUACGGCACUGAUAAAUCGAGAUAGACAGUCGAUGGCCGCAUGGCGGGAAAUGUCUAUAGAAUCUCAAUAGUACUAUGUAGUACAUUUAUACUAGAUAAAGAAUUUUAUAUAAAAAUGUGAAAAUAGUACGUGCAUCCUUUUUUUUUUUAUUUUAGUGGUUAUUUAUAAUUUAAAUAAAAACUAAAGUGUUCUUACAAAAGUUCAUGUUUUUACAAAACUGAAGGCGUUAAAGUAAUUCUGUUUCCGGAUUCAAAAAAAGGUUUCAAUUUGAUAGAUAAUACAAUUUAAUAAAUAAAUUAAUCUUUCAAUAGUUAGUAAGUAAAAGUUUGUUAAAAUAAUUUCUUUUUAAUUGUUACAAAUACUUUUUAAACAAAAUUUUAUACACCACUGGUAUACCUACUUUUUUAUUUUUAUUCAAUUAAAAUUUAUUCUCAUUAACAUAAUGAUUAUGUGAAAUCAUUAUCAACAUUUUAUAACGAAAGAUAUUCUGUACAUAUGAGUAAAGAUCAAGUUCGUGAUCUAUAUUAUGAAAUGCUCUAUCAAUUUUUAAACUUUGUAGGAUAAACAAAUUGCAAUUAUGAAACCGAUUAUCAUACAAGGGUACUACAACCAAUAUCAUAUUAAUUAAUAUCGUAAUAAUAAACAUUUAUACAACUUCAAAUAAAAAUUAUUUUAUAUUAUUUAUUUAUCUAAAGUAUCGCAAAACGCGAUAAAAAUUUAUUAAAAUUAAAAAAUCUUAGCUAAAUGAUGUAUGUAUGUAUUGCUUUAUUGUACUGAGGCUAGUACCUAUUACAGUCUUUUUCUAAGUUAUUGCACGUUCGGUUCCUCUCUUAAUUACUUCUAUUUCUGAGUGCAAUUUUUCGAUUUCUAGUCUUAUCAUACACCUUGAUGUACUUCUGGCUACCCCUAACAUCCUCUUAAUAAACUCUGCCAGUACUUUUUCUAA